UACGUAGGGGGCGAGCGUUGUCCGGAAUUAUUGGGCGUAAAGCGCGCGCAGGCGGCUCCUUAAGUCUGGUGUGAAAGCCCCCGGCUCAACCGGGGAGGGUCAUUGGAAACUGGGGAACUUGAGUGCAGAAGAGGAUAGUGGAAUUCCAAGUGUAGCGGUGAAAUGCGUAGAGAUUUGGAGGAACACCAGUGGCGAAGGCGACUAUCUGGUCUGUAACUGACACUGAGGCGCGAAAGCGUGGGGAGCAAACAGG
This 253-nucleotide ribosomal RNA is filed under the name uncultured Solibacillus sp. RNAcentral's name for it is "partial 16S ribosomal RNA". It matches the Rfam family "Bacterial small subunit ribosomal RNA", at positions 524 to 776 of the family's 1533-position model. The record is from RNAcentral. Lineage: Bacteria; Bacillati; Bacillota; Bacilli; Caryophanales; Caryophanaceae.